GCUCUCGUGGUGAAAUGGAUAUCACGCGGCCCUCCGGAGGCUGAGUUGUAGGUUCGAUCCCUACCGAGAGCGCCA
Molecule: transfer RNA, 75 nt
Filed under: Pseudoalteromonas sp. SR43-6
Lineage: Bacteria; Pseudomonadati; Pseudomonadota; Gammaproteobacteria; Alteromonadales; Pseudoalteromonadaceae
Also listed under: 2 other names
Description: tRNA-Arg
Rfam family: tRNA
About the family: Transfer RNA (tRNA) molecules are approximately 80 nucleotides in length. Their secondary structure includes four short double-helical elements and three loops (D, anti-codon, and T loops).
Source: RNAcentral